CCUACGGGAGGCAGCAGUGAGGAAUAUUGGUCAAUGGGCGAGAGCCUGAACCAGCCAAGUCGCGUGAAGGAUGACUGCCCUACGGGUUGUAAACUUCUUUUAUAAGGGAAUAAAGUGCGGCACGCGUGCCUCUUUGUAUGUACUUUAUGAAUAAGGAUCGGCUAACUCCGUGCCAGCAGCCGCGGUAAUAAGGAGGAUCCGAGCGUUAUCCGGAUUUAUUGGGUUUAAAGGGAGCGUAGAUGGGUUGGUAAGUCAGUUGUGAAAGUUUGCGGCUCAACCGUAAAAUUGCAAUUGAUACUGGCAUCCUUGAGUAGAGUUGAGGUAGGCGGAAUGCGUGGUGUAGCGGUGAAAUGCUUAGAUAUCACGAAGAACUCCGAUUGCGAAGGCAGCGUACUAGACUGCCACUGACAUUGAUGCACGAAAGUGUGGGUAUCAAACAGGAUUAGAUACCCUUGUAGUC
RNAcentral lists this ribosomal RNA (460 nucleotides) under uncultured bacterium. RNAcentral's name for it is "partial 16S ribosomal RNA". It matches the Rfam family "Bacterial small subunit ribosomal RNA", at positions 338 to 795 of the family's 1533-position model. The record is from RNAcentral.